GCUGGGGAAAUGAUCUUUGAUUGACUUGAGGCUGGAAGAUGGGAAGAUAAUUUAAGGUCUAAUAUUUAUCUUUUAUUGAUAAUUAAACUCUUCACAGGCAUGGGAGAAGACAGUUAUAGUAGAGCAAUAGUGAAGAAAACUCCAGAAGUCUCAGUUUGGGUUCUACUUUUCAAAACGGAGCUACUGUUAUCACCAAUAGUCCUGAUGAAGGUUUGUAUACUAUUUCUCACUAUUUCAGAGGGAAGAAGCUUAUCCAGUAAUGUCCACUUCCACAGAUAUUGGUUUCCAUUUGUCCAUUCCUUGGCUUUUGCAGGUUGCUGGGAUGGAAUGCUCUCAGGACUGAGCAGUCAAAUCAAAAUCUGGGUGGACUCUCUGACCCAGUGGAGUCACAUCUUGCUGAAAUACCUGGCUUCGAGUAUACAGG
RNAcentral lists this long non-coding RNA (424 nucleotides) under Fukomys damarensis (Damara mole-rat). Its description in RNAcentral is "lncRNA (ENSFDAG00000025079.1)". Lineage: Eukaryota; Metazoa; Chordata; Mammalia; Rodentia; Bathyergidae. The record is from RNAcentral.